UACGUAGGGUGCAAGCGUUAAUCGGAAUUACUGGGCGUAAAGCGUGCGCAGGCGAUUGUGCAAGACAGAUGUGAAAUCCCCGGGCUCAACCUGGGAACUGCAUUUGUGACUGCACAGCUUGAGUUCGGCAGAGGGGGAUGGAAUUCCGCGUGUAGCAGUGAAAUGCGUAGAUAUGCGGAGGAACACCGAUGGCGAAGGCGAUCCCCUGGGCCUGCACUGACGCUCAUGCGCGAAAGCGUGGGGAGCAAACAGG
Molecule: ribosomal RNA, 253 nt
Filed under: uncultured bacterium
Lineage: Bacteria
Description: partial 16S ribosomal RNA
Rfam family: Bacterial small subunit ribosomal RNA
Source: RNAcentral